Molecule: non-coding RNA, 1748 nt
Organism: Sus scrofa (pig)
Lineage: Eukaryota; Metazoa; Chordata; Mammalia; Artiodactyla; Suidae
Source: RefSeq, a predicted model, not a curated record
CACACCCACAGCAUAUGGAAGUUCUGGGGCCAGGGACUGAAUCCAAGCCACAGCUGCAGCAAUGCUGGAUCCUUUAACCCACUGCACAGGGCUAGGGAUUGAGCCUGCGCACCUUUGCAGUGACCCGAGUUGCUGCAUUCAGAUUCUUAACCCACUGCUCCAUGGCAGGAACUCCUAUUUGUUUUCAUUUUGAUUAUCUUCUUGCUUGUUUUACAAUCCUGACUUUACUAAGAUACCUGAAAGAUGACAUUUAGUAUAUUUGAUCUUGUUCUGUGUCUUCUCUGCCUCAAGAAAGAGGAAGAUUAUCCAUGACCUGGAUCAGGGCUGAUUCUCCCAAGUGCCAUGGUUUUGUCCUUUGCUGUGUUAAAUAACCCUUGCCCUCCUCCUAAACCCAUCCCACAGGUUCCCGAGGAACAUUCAGUUCCUUUAACUUCCAGGAGAAAGGCAGGUCAAUAUUACUAAUGGAGUGUGUUCUGCGUACCACCAGGUUUGGAAAUAUUUUUUUGUGAAGGCAUGCAUAGGCUUCAUAACUCUGAACACGUCCACAAAAAAGCCAGACCACACUUGGCCCAUGUCUACCUAGGACUCAGGGGCAUUAAUGUUGCCAGAUUCUUUGCAGGUACUAGUCAGGACUGUUUUCUUGCCUUCUUCAUACUAGGCCCAUUUCCAGGUGGCUGAGGUACAGAUCCUGUUAUUACUUGAUUUGCUUUGGACAAAUUUCCUGACCUGCUCCUUCUCUGCCUCUUACUUGUUUGCUCUGUAGUUACUUCUUCAACCCUGCACUUCACACCUACCCCUUACUGCUCUCACCAUGUCCAUCUUCCAACUCAUUCAUGCUUGUUUUAACAAUCCUACUCUACUCGCUGCUAUCACUCUCUCAUAGGAUGGCCAGGCUGGAUAGAGUGAGGGACGGUCUUGUCUCUGGAGAGCUCAGAGCAAGGUGAAGGCCAUUUUGAAGACACUGGCUUUCAAUAGAGAGCCAUUGGAACAUCUUCAGUGGGGGGUGGAUUUCACAAUUUCAACAAAUAUAUUCUAGUUAAAUUUUGGUGAGUGCCCCUUUUUGUCAUUUUUAAAAUUGAAAUAGUUGAUUGACAAUGUUGUGUUAAUUUCAGGUAUACAGCACAGUGAUUCAGUUAUACAUACAUAUUUUUUUCCAGAUUCUUUUCUCUUAUAGGUUAUUACAAAAUAUUGAGUACAGGUCCCUGUGCUAUACAGUAGGUACGGUAUCAAAAGGUCGGGAAUGAAAUGAGGAACCAUCCAAGCAGAAGGAUGAAGACUUCAGAGGAUGGGAGAGAACCCAGGAGGAUAUGGUGUUUUGGAAGCCAUGUCAAUGAAAAACAUCAAAGAGAAGGGGGAAAUCUCUGUGACAGGUGCCAAGGAAGGGUCACAUAAAUAAUGAAAAAGAAUUAGCCAUUGAAUUUAGCAAUGAGGCUGACAUUGGUAACUUUGACAGUUUCCAUGAAGUGAUGGGAGCAAAACGCAAGGGUGACACACCAUGAAUGCCAGCAAGAGGGGCAGAGAUUAGGUGGGAUGCUGUCCUGGAAACAAGAAAGUCCCUAAGACACAGCACCUUAAGACUGACUCUGCCAUGUUCAUAACACUCUACAAACUACAUCACAGGGACACCCCCAGGAGAGAUGAGCAGGAGGCUGGGAGGCUGUUUGAUAAGCUGAGCACUGUUUGUGUUGUUUUUAAUUUUGUUAAGACAGACUGAAUAUUAAAUAAAGCUUCUGGAGUUCCUUAUGUGA